GACGAACGCUGGCGGCGUGCUUAACACAUGCAAGUCGAACGGAAAGACCCUGCUUUUGUGGGGUGUUCGAGUGGCGAACGGGUGAGUAACACGUGAGUAACCUGCCCUUGACUUUGGGAUAACUUCAGGAAACUGGGGCUAAUACCGGAUAGGAGCUCCUGCUGCAUGGUGGGGGUUGGAAAGUUUCGGCGGUUGGGGAUGGACUCGCGGCUUAUCAGCUUGUUGGUGGGGUAGUGGCUUACCAAGGCUUUGACGGGUAGCCGGCCUGAGAGGGUGACCGGCCACAUUGGGACUGAGAUACGGCCCAGACUCCUACGGGAGGCAGCAGUGGGGAAUAUUGCACAAUGGGCGGAAGCCUGAUGCAGCAACGCCGCGUGCGGGAUGACGGCCUUCGGGUUGUAAACCGCUUUCGCCUGUGACGAAGCGUGAGUGACGGUAAUGGGUAAAGAAGCACCGGCUAACUACGUG
Molecule: ribosomal RNA, 468 nt
Filed under: uncultured bacterium
Lineage: Bacteria
Description: partial 16S ribosomal RNA
Rfam family: Bacterial small subunit ribosomal RNA
Source: RNAcentral